GUGCUUACUUUGGUAGUCCAUAUGCUAAAACUAAAAUGAUACAGAGAUCAGCAAAGCCCCUGCACAAGGAUGACAUGAAAAUUUAUGAAGCAUUUCAUAUUUUU
Molecule: small nuclear RNA, 104 nt
Organism: Dipodomys ordii (Ord's kangaroo rat)
Lineage: Eukaryota; Metazoa; Chordata; Mammalia; Rodentia; Heteromyidae
Source: Ensembl